This 468-nucleotide ribosomal RNA is filed under the name uncultured bacterium. RNAcentral's name for it is "partial 16S ribosomal RNA". It matches the Rfam family "Bacterial small subunit ribosomal RNA", at positions 28 to 507 of the family's 1533-position model. The record is from RNAcentral.
GACGAACGCUGGCGGCGUGCUUAACACAUGCAAGUCGAACGGAAAGGCCCUGCUUUUGUGGGGUGCUCGAGUGGCGAACGGGUGAGUAACACGUGAGUAACCUGCCCUUGACUUUGGGAUAACUUCAGGAAACUGGGGCUAAUACCGGAUAGGAGCUCCUGCUGCAUGGUGGGGGUUGGAAAGUUUCGGCGGUUGGGGAUGGACUCGCGGCUUAUCAGCUUGUUGGUGGGGUAGUGGCUUACCAAGGCUUUGACGGGUAGCCGGCCUGAGAGGGUGACCGGCCACAAUGGGACUGAGAUACGGACCAGACUGGUACGGGAGGCAGUAGGGGGGAGUAUUGCAGAACGAGCGGAAGCCUGAGGCAGAGACCUCGGGUGCGGGAUGACGGCUUUCGGGUUGUAAACCGCUUUGGCCUGAGACGAGGCGUGAGUGACGGUAAUGGGUAAAGAAGCAACGGCUAACUACGUG